GGGUUGUGAGGUUAAGCGACUAAGCGUACACGGUGGAUGCCCUGGCAGUCAGAGGCGAUGAAGGGCGUGCUAAUCUGCGAUAAGCGCCGGUAAGGUGAUAUGAACCGUUAUAACCGGCGAUACCCGAAUGGGGAAACCCAGUGUGACUCGUCACACUAUCAUUAACUGAAUCCAUAGGUUAAUGAGGCGAACCGGGGGAACUGAAACAUCUAAGUACCCCGAGGAAAAGAAAUCAACCGAGAUUCCCCCAGUAGCGGCGAGCGAACGGGGAGGAGCCCAGAGCCUGAAUCAGCAUGUGUGUUAGUGGAAGCGUCUGGAAAGGCGCGCGAUACAGGGUGACAGCCCCGUACACAAAAGCGCAUGUGCUGUGAGCUCGAUGAGUAGGGCGGGACACGUGGUAUCCUGUCUGAAUAUGGGGGGACCAUCCUCCAAGGCUAAAUACUCCUGACUGACCGAUAGUGAACCAGUACCGUGAGGGAAAGGCGAAAAGAACCCCGGCGAGGGGAGUGAAAAAGAACCUGAAACCGUGUACGUACAAGCAGUGGGAGCACAGGUUUACCUGUGUGACUGCGUACCUUUUGUAUAAUGGGUCAGCGACUUAUAUUCUGUAGCAAGGUUAACCGAAUAGGGGAGCCGGAGGGAAACCGAGUCUUAACCGGGCGUUAAGUUGCAGGGUAUAGACCCGAAACCCGGUGAUCUAGCCAUGGGCAGGUUGAAGGUUGGGUAACACUAACUGGAGGACCGAACCGACUAAUGUUGAAAAAUUAGCGGAUGACCUGUGGCUGGGGGUGAAAGGCCAAUCAAACCGGGAGAUAGCUGGUUCUCCCCGAAAGCUAUUUAGGUAGCGCCUCGUGAAUUCAUCUCCGGGGGUAGAGCACUGUUUCGGCUAGGGGGCCAUCCCGGCUUACCAACCCGAUGCAAACUGCGAAUACCGGAGAAUGUUAUCACGGGAGACACACGGCGGGUGCUAACGUCCGUCGUGAAGAGGGAAACAACCCAGACCGCCAGCUAAGGUCCCAAAGUCAUGGUUAAGUGGGAAACGAUGUGGGAAGGCCCAGACAGCCAGGAUGUUGGCUUAGAAGCAGCCAUCAUUUAAAGAAAGCGUAAUAGCUCACUGGUCGAGUCGGCCUGCGCGGAAGAUGUAACGGGGCUAAACCAUGCACCGAAGCUGCGGCAGCGACGCUGAUGCGUUGUUGGGUAGGGGAGCGUUCUGUAAGCCUGCGAAGGUGGCCUGUGAGGGUUGCUGGAGGUAUCAGAAGUGCGAAUGCUGACAUAAGUAACGAUAAAGCGGGUGAAAAGCCCGCUCGCCGGAAGACCAAGGGUUCCUGUCCAACGUUAAUCGGGGCAGGGUGAGUCGACCCCUAAGGCGAGGCCGAAAGGCGUAGUCGAUGGGAAACGGGUUAAUAUUCCCGUACUUGGUGUUACUGCGAAGGGGGGACGGAGAAGGCUAUGUUGGCCGGGCGACGGUUGUCCCGGUUUAAGCGUGUAG
RNAcentral lists this ribosomal RNA (1489 nucleotides) under Salmonella enterica. RNAcentral's name for it is "partial 23S ribosomal RNA". It matches the Rfam family "Bacterial large subunit ribosomal RNA", at positions 1 to 1523 of the family's 2925-position model. Lineage: Bacteria; Pseudomonadati; Pseudomonadota; Gammaproteobacteria; Enterobacterales; Enterobacteriaceae. The record is from RNAcentral.